GGACUACCCGGGUUUCUAAUCCUGUUUGCUACCCACGCUUUCGUGCCUCAGCGUCAGUUAUGGUCCAGAAAGCCGUUUACACCACCGGUGUUCCUCCUGAUAUCUACGCAUUUCACCGCUACACCAGGAAUUCCACUUUCCUCUCCCACACUCUAGCCUCUCAGUAUUCGGCGCACCCUCCCAGUUGAGCCGGGAGAUUUCACACCAAACUUAAAAAGCCGCCUACGCACCCUUUACGCCCAGUAACUCCGAACAACGCUUGCUGCCUACGUAUUACCGCGGCGGCUGGCAC
This 292-nucleotide ribosomal RNA is filed under the name uncultured Acidobacteriota bacterium. Its description in RNAcentral is "uncultured Acidobacteria bacterium partial 16S ribosomal RNA". Lineage: Bacteria; Pseudomonadati; Acidobacteriota. The record is from RNAcentral.